This 198-nucleotide ribosomal RNA is filed under the name uncultured bacterium. Its description in RNAcentral is "partial 16S ribosomal RNA". It matches the Rfam family "Bacterial small subunit ribosomal RNA", at positions 1303 to 1500 of the family's 1533-position model. The record is from RNAcentral.
GGCUGCAACUCGCCUGCAUGAAGCUGGAAUUGCUAGUAAUCGCGGAUCAGCAAGCCGCGGUGAAUACGUUCCCGGGCCUUGUACACACCGCCCGUCACACCAUGAGAGUCGGGAACACCCGAAGUCCGUAGUCUAACCGCAAGGGGGGCGCGGCCGAAGGUGGGUCCGGUAAUUGGGGUGAAGUCGUAACAAGGUAUC